AAUAGCUCACUAGUCGAGUGACACUGCGCCGAAAAUGUACCGGGGCUAAACAUAUUACCGAAGCUGUGGAUUGUCCUUUGGACAAUGGUAGGAGAGCGUUCUAAGGGCGUUGAAGCAUGAUCGUAAGGACAUGUGGAGCGCUUAGAAGUGAGAAUGCCGGUGUGAGUAGCGAAAGACGGGUGAGAAUCCCGUCCACCGAUUGACUAAGGUUUCCAGAGGAAGGCUCGUCCGCUCUGGGUUAGUCGGGUCCUAAGCUGAGGCCGACAGGCGUAGGCGAUGGAUAACAGGUUGAUAUUCCUGUACCACCUAUAAUCGUUUUAAUCGAUGGGGGGACGCAGUAGGAUAGGCGAAGCGUGCGAUUGGAUUGCACGUCUAAGCAGUAAGGCUGAGUAUUAGGCAAAUCCGGUACUCGUUAAGGCUGAGCUGUGAUGGGGAGAAGACAUUGUGUCUUCGAGUCGUUGAUUUCACACUGCCGAGAAAAGCCUCUAGAUAGAAAAUAGGUGCCCGUACCGCAAACCGACACAGGUAGUCAAGAUGAGAAUUCUAAGGUGAGCGAGCGAACUCUCGUUAAGGAACUCGGCAAAAUGACCCCGUAACUUCGGGAGAAGGGGUGCUCUUUAGGGUUAACGCCCAGAAGAGCCGCAGUGAAUAGGCCCAAGCGACUGUUUAUCAAAAACACAGGUCUCUGCUAAACCGUAAGGUGAUGUAUAGGGGCUGACGCCUGCCCGGUGCUGGAAGGUUAAGAGGAGUGGUUAGCUUAUGCGAAGCUACGAAUCGAAGCCCCAGUAAACGGCGGCCGUAACUAUAACGGUCCUAAGGUAGCGAAAUUCCUUGUCGGGUAAGUUCCGACCCGCACGAAAGGCGUAACGAUUUGGGCACUGUCUCAA
This 887-nucleotide ribosomal RNA is filed under the name Staphylococcus aureus. RNAcentral describes it as "partial 23S ribosomal RNA". It matches the Rfam family "Bacterial large subunit ribosomal RNA", at positions 1136 to 2024 of the family's 2925-position model. Lineage: Bacteria; Bacillati; Bacillota; Bacilli; Caryophanales; Staphylococcaceae. The record is from RNAcentral.